Molecule: transfer RNA, 63 nt
Filed under: Ictidomys tridecemlineatus (thirteen-lined ground squirrel)
Lineage: Eukaryota; Metazoa; Chordata; Mammalia; Rodentia; Sciuridae
Description: Spermophilus tridecemlineatus (thirteen-lined ground squirrel) tRNA
Rfam family: tRNA
About the family: Transfer RNA (tRNA) molecules are approximately 80 nucleotides in length. Their secondary structure includes four short double-helical elements and three loops (D, anti-codon, and T loops).
Source: Rfam by way of RNAcentral
GAGGUUAUAGUUCAGUGGUAGAACACUUGCCUAGCAUGUAUGAGGCACUGGGUUCUAUCCUCA